Acanthopagrus latus (yellowfin seabream) is the source of this 5270-nucleotide long non-coding RNA. RefSeq lists it as uncharacterized. Lineage: Eukaryota; Metazoa; Chordata; Actinopteri; Spariformes; Sparidae. The record is from RefSeq and is a predicted model, not a curated record. The transcript is spliced from 5 exons.
GGUGCAGCUGCACUGGGGCCCAGACGCCUUCAGGGGCCCAUGAAGGAAGGGAAAAACAGCUGUCCAGAAUUGCCACAGGCCCUGUUUUUGAGAAUGAAAUGGGGGGGCGGGUCGGUAAGGUAACGCUGAGUGGUCUUGAUGCCUGUCAAUCAUAAUGAGUGGUGUCUCGUCACCUCUCCACUGUGUCUGCAGCUGAAGACUGUGAUGCGUCUCUCUCCCCGGGCCAGGAGAGUUAUCAUACUGUAACAUAUCAAAAUAAUAACCGGGGCAUUUAUUGUUUCAAUCACUUAACAGACCAGGCGGCAAUUUGGGACCAGGCGUUUAAUUCGUUCCUCUCAAAAAAUCAGGGAUGAAAAUAUCACAAACUUCGCCAGCCUCUCGAUGAAUUCUCUGGCAUCUGGCAGUGAAGUUGUUGCGGCGGAGGAAAAGAUUUAGUCAACCAGCACUCGCGGCAAACUCCUCUUCUCUGCUGUCACGGUGGCGUUAAUUUGUUUGGCCAUCACCUAUCACCAUGAUGUUACGCUUCUGGUCCCAAGUUUGGUCUUCAGUUAGCCAACACCUAUUUUAUACAACUGCUUCCCAUUGCCACAUGCCAUAUGCCAGUGAUAUUUCAAAUUCUUGAGAGCAGACAUCACUGUUCACAGUGCAUCCUUCAGCAAACGUACUAUAGUACUUUCACUUUUAAAACAGACAUGGCGCGUUUUUGUCUAUCAGUUGCACAUUAACAGUCAAUACAAUAUGCUGUUGCAUUACUUUAUUUUAUUUAUUAAUUUAUGCUAUCUUUUUCUCCUGCAUUACUGUAUAAUCCAUGCACCAGUAGAACAUUUAAAAAAUGAAUGAAAGGUUGUUCAGUUGAUAUGACAAACAUUUUUAUUGUCAUUGAAGGUCAUAAAACAAAAUCAUGUGCGGCACUGCUCGGUUAGAGCAGAAUGAAUGCGAAAUUUGAUUUACCAAAAUCACAUUUUUUUUAAGAUUUCUACAAGUCCAGGAUUGGAUUCAUAACCAAACACGAUAAUAUCCUGUAAUCCCCGAACAACAGCCCAUGGAUACUGUGUUUCCAACAGCUCCAUCUAACAAAUAAUAUCUGCUAUAUAUGUAUGAAACUCUCAUCUUUACAGUUGGCAUUUCUUGAUGCAUUGAGAGAAGCAUGGCAGGCUGAUCUGAAUUUACAAAUUACAGAUACUGAAUGGUCAGACAUAUUCAUUCAUAUUUUCAAGAAUACACUCAUCAGUUUGUGCCAGACAUGGCCUACCUCAAUUCAAAGAUGCACAUAGACCGCACUUGUUUAAAGCCAGAAUCUCAAAGAUGUAUCCAGCAAUGGAUAAUUAGUGUAAUAUAGGAGUGCCCAACCAGAUCGCGGUCUACUGGUAGAGCGGUUACACACUCCUAAACGUUAACAUGGCUGAGGAGAAACAAGCCAAGACCUACCAUUUUCAUCCUGAAUGGGAAGAGGAUUAUUUUGUUUAUUCUCAUUCAAAGCCUGUAUGUUUGAUCUGCAAUGCAACGGUGGUGUUGGCAGAGAAAGGGAAUCUGGAGUGGCAUUUUAAAACGGUACACAGGAGCUACGAGAGGGAUUUCCCUGCAAAAACGCCUUUACGUGCCACAAAAAAUGCAGCAUUUGAAAGCACAGCCUGCGGCACAGCAGUCAAUCUUCACCAAACCAAAGACCCAGGGUAAGGCUGCAACUAUUGCUUCCUAUCGCGCCAGUCACAUCCUGCUAAACACAAGAAGCUGUUCAAAAAAAGCGAUAUUAUGAAGGAAGCCUUUCUCGAUGCAGUGGAUAGCCUUUUUGACAACUUUAAAAAUAAAACAGAGAUCAUGAAGGCUAUUAAAGAAGUGCAACUCUCCCACAAUACUACUACAAGUCGAUGUGAGGUGGAUGUGGAGGAGCAACUGAGGAAGGAUAUUGAUGUGUGGAAGUGCUUUUCCCUCCAGUUUGACGAGUCGACUGAUAUGGUGGAUGUGGCACAAUUGUGUGUUUUCAUCUGGAUUGUUUUUGAAGACAUGAGUGCCAAGGAAGAGCUACUCACCAUUUUGCCAUUAAAAGGACACACCAGAGGUGAGGAUAUUUUUAAUGCUUUCACAGGAUUUGUUAGCGAGACAAAACUGCUGCUCUUCAAGCUGAUCUCCAUCACAACUGAUGAGGUGCCUGCUAUGUUGGGCUGCACCAGUGGGUUCACUGCACUGUGCAAAGAAAGUACAUCUCAUCAAGCUGCAGAGGUAAAUUUUUGGCCAAAGUUACAGAGCUGUUGCCUGAAAUCAAGGACUUCCUGAAGCUUUCAAAACAUGUGGAUUACCAAACAAAGCUAGAGGACCACCAGUGGCUUUUAGAUUUAUCUUUCCUCACUGAUCUCAGUGAACUGAACUUAGAGCUGCAGGGUAAGGGUAUAGAUGUAAUCAACAUGAUGAGUUUAGUGAACAUGAUGUCAAGCAGGCUGCAGUGUGGUAACCUGCGCAACUUCCCUCACAUGCAAGCAGAACUACAACGUCAUUGUAAAGGUGUGACACAGCUUGACACUGCACGUUAUGAGGAGCAUGUUCAGAGCAUCUCGUCAGCGUUUGAGAGGCGUUUUGCUGACUUUGCAUCCAUCGAGCCUGUAGCCAGCUAUAUGUGUUAUCUAUUUGGUGCAAGUAUUGAUGUUGGUGACAUUGCUGCCAAAUUCAAAUCAUUUUUCAACUUGGAAAGCUCCACUCUUGAGGAUGAGAUUCUGACAUUGCAAAAUGGCAUUUAGAUCAAAGCCAGAACAACAUUCGCUCAACCUGGAGAGCAUGCAGUGUUCUGGAAACUACUGGUGGAGGAGAAGUAUCCUAAUCUCAGAAGAUGUGCCUUGAACCUGACAGCUCUUUUUGGAUCAACUUAUUUGUGCGAGUCUACUUUCUCGCACAUGAAAAUCAUCAAGUCCAAGUACAGAUCGAUGACUGAUGACCACCUUGCAGCCUGCCUAUGCCUUGCAACGAGCUCCUACACUCCUGACUAUGAGAAGCUAGCCUCCUCCUCCCAGUGCCAGGUCUCCCACUAAGGUAGGAAGUGAUUACCUUUUUUUUUCAAACUCAGAGAUUGACCUGUUUUGUACCUGGUUUUUCUGUUUGGUUCGUAUUAAGGUCAGUUAUGGCUAUUACUCACCAUGCAGAUUGGCGCGUGUGUGUGUGUGUGUGUGUGUGCGCGUGUGUGAGAGAGAGAGAGGAGCAGAGAGAGCGGGUUUGUGCUACAGCGGUUACUGGACACUGGACUGGUAGAUUUUGGGAGGUUGGCUACUUGAAAAGUAGAUCUUGGGUCAAAAUUAGCUCAUACAUUCCAGUUUUGUCCGAGACUCUGAGGUUUCUGGUAAUCUAUAUUCGAUGCCCUAUUGAAGAUAUUUAAAAGACCAAUACACCCGAACCCUCUCACAGCCGUAUUUGGUAUUCAGUGUGAGGAUGAUCAUCUUCCUAGUGUACAAUUUGAUCGCAUUGCUUUGUCACAGCAUUGCUUUGAGUCCUUACAAAGGCUCCUUUCACCUCUGAAAUGACGCUCCAAUAAAGGUAUUUUUUUUAGUAUUUUGGCCUUUGUAUGGCUUUGUUGAUAGUUCAGCUGAAGAUGUGACAGGAAACAGGAUCAGAGAGAGGGGGAGUAACACACAGCAAAGGGCCCCAGGCUGGGAGUCAAACCCAGCUCCACUGCAACAAGGACAAUGCCUCUGUACAUGGGACACCUGCUCUACCCACUGAGCUAAACAGUGCCCAUUAUUUUGUCUCUUUGACGUGGGCAAUGGUGGGGAAUUUUUCAGCUCUGUUGUUGUUUACAGUUUGGGCGUGAGCUUGAAAGUAUCUGACGUGAGGGGUAUUGCACAAAAGUAGAAUAACGAAAUCCAGGAUAAUUGAGCAAGCACGGCUUGACCUAGUCUGCUCGGCGCAUCCUGGCUUAAUUGGUUGUACGUUUGCUGAGCCAGGAUGAAAAGGCGCGGCUAUGUCAAGCCAGGUGUAGAUAGUCAGGGUAAGUGCAUGUUCACGGCAUACUUAAAUAGACCCUGUGAUUGCUCACAGAAUCACCGAUGGGAACAUGGAUAAGAGUCGCACUUCACAUUUCAUGGCCGUCAAACAACAGCUCCUGGUGGAGUUCUAUGAAGAGGUGAAAAAUAUUAUGAGAAAAAAAGGCAAUACCACUGCCAUAAUUAAAGAAAGAGAGGAUGCCUGGCAGACAAUAGCGGACAAUAGUAGUCCAAAACUGUACGAUUAAUAAACAGUGCUCCACUGGAACUGUCAUAAUUAGGUUACAACUAAAGGACUAAGGGAGUUACUUUUAAAGUCCACUAAUCAUCUGUUGUACACUUUGCCUUAAAUGUGGCAAGUAGAGGUGCAUGUUACUCAGGGACUGUAGAGUAUGAUUAAGUGCAAACAAUUAACCACAAUGUGUGUCAUUUAAUCUAUUUUACUCAUGUAAUGUUUUUAUCUAUUCUAUCUUUCUAUCCUUCAUAAAGAACAAACUUGUCUGGCCAUAAAAGCCAGGCAGCAAGUUAAGAUUAAAUACAAGAACAUUUUGCAGGUUGGUCAGUGACUUUAAAGUAGGUAACAGUGAACAAAUGAGGUGAAUAGAUGUCUGCUGACAUGUUUAAUGUCUGUAUGAUUGUAGCAGUUUAAAAAAAAAGCCCAUAGAACUGGAACAGGGGGCGGCCCACCAAGCCAGGAUAUGACCCCAGCAGAGGAGCUGCCACUCCAUUUAAAUAAAGGGAGGCCAGUGAUGGAGGGGAUCCAGAGAGGGACAGUAACACACUCUGUCCCAGCCACAGAAACUGUUCGCUUCAUACAAGUGUCUGGGAACAUGCUUACACUUUUGAAGCCACGGGAAGAUGAUCCGGGUGAAGGCACAUCUGCAGCUGCAGAAUGCACUUCUGUAGAUGAGGAGACUGUGUCACUGGACUCCAGAAGGCUUGAGACUUCACACACUGUGAGAACUAUACGCAAAGCACCUGGAGAAACAUAUAGACCUGGCAGAUGUUAAAAUAAAACUCAAGAAGAGAAAAAUCCAAGAAAUGGAGCUGGUUCUUGAGAUUAAACAUCGGACACCCAGGAAACUGGACUUGGAAAUCCAGAAACUAGAAAGAGAACCGUGGAUGGAGUCAGAACUGCAGACCCAGUUGAUGGACGAUAUGGUGGACAGAGGACACUGGACCCCCAAACACCCUGAGUACCGACCCAGAUGAUGUCCCACUGACACCAUCCAGCCCAGCAGCACUGCAGGGACUCCUGCUCAGCCUGUUACUGUAUAUCAUCUGUAACUGUUUAAUAUUGUUUUU